UACGUAGGGUGCGAGCGUUGUCCGGAAUUACUGGGCGUAAAGAGCUCGUAGGUGGUUUGUCGCGUUGUCCGUGAAAACUCACAACUCAAUUGUGGGCGUGCGGGCGAUACGGGCAGACUGGAGUACUGCAGGGGAGACUGGAAUUCCUGGUGUAGCGGUGGAAUGCGCAGAUAUCAGGAGGAACACCAGUGGCGAAGGCGGCUCACUGGACCGGAACUGACGCUGAGGCGCGAAAGCGUGGGGAGCAAACGGG
RNAcentral lists this ribosomal RNA (253 nucleotides) under uncultured bacterium. RNAcentral describes it as "partial 16S ribosomal RNA". It matches the Rfam family "Bacterial small subunit ribosomal RNA", at positions 524 to 776 of the family's 1533-position model. The record is from RNAcentral.